CCUACGGGUGGCAGCAGUGAGGAAUAUUGGUCAAUGGACGUAAGCCUGAACCAGCCAUGUCGCGUGCAGGAUGACGGUUCUAUGAGUCGUAAACCGCUUUUGUACGAGGGUAAAGUGCGAUACGUGUACCGGGUUGUAUGUACCUUAUGAAUAAGGAUCGGCUAACUCCGUGCCAGCAGCCGCGGUAAUACGGAGGAUCCGAGCGUUAUCCGGAUUUAUUGGGUUUAAAGGGUGCGUAGGCGGUCUUGUAAGUUAGCGGUGAAAUGUCGGGGCUCAACCCCGGAAUUGCCUUUGAAACUGUGAGGCUGGAGAAUGUUUGAGGUAGGCGGAAUGUGUGGUGUAGCGGUGAAAUGCUUAGAGAUCAUACAGAACACCGAUUGCGAAGGCAGCUUGCCAAGCUAUGACUGACGUUGAUGCACGAAAGCGUGGGUAUCAAACAGGAUUAGAUACCCCUGUAGUC
This 460-nucleotide ribosomal RNA is filed under the name uncultured bacterium. RNAcentral describes it as "partial 16S ribosomal RNA". It matches the Rfam family "Bacterial small subunit ribosomal RNA", at positions 338 to 795 of the family's 1533-position model. The record is from RNAcentral.